Molecule: ribosomal RNA, 888 nt
Filed under: uncultured eukaryote
Lineage: Eukaryota
Description: partial Bacterial small subunit ribosomal RNA
Rfam family: Bacterial small subunit ribosomal RNA
Source: RNAcentral
UUGAAGAGUUUGAUCAUGGCUCAGAUUGAACGCUGGCGGCAGGCCUAACACAUGCAAGUCGAACGGAAACAUGUCUAGCUUGCUAGAUGAUGUCGAGUGGCGGACGGGUGAGUAAUACUUAGGAACAUGCCUUUGGGUGGGGGAUAACUAUUGGAAACGAUAGCUAAUACCGCAUAACGUCUACGGACCAAAGGGGGGAGCUUGCUCCUCUCGCCCAAAGAGUGGCCUAAGCGAGAUUAGCUUGUUGGUGGGGUAAAGGCUCACCAAGGCGACGAUCUCUAGCUGUUCUGAGAGGAAGAUCAGCCACACUGGGACUGAGACACGGCCCAGACUCCUACGGGAGGCAGCAGUGGGGAAUAUUGCACAAUGGAGGAAACUCUGAUGCAGCCAUGCCGCGUGUGUGAAGAAGGCCUUCGGGUUGUAAAGCACUUUCAGUUGUGAGGAAAGCUUGUUGGUUAAUACCCAACAGGUAUGACGUUAGCAACAGAAGAAGGACCGGCUAACUCCGUGCCAGCAGCCGCGGUAAUACGGAGGAUGCAAGUGUUAUCCGAAAUUAUUGGGCGUAAAGAGUCUGUAGGUGGCUUUCAAAGUCUGAUGUUAAAUGUCAGGGCUUAACCCUGAACCUGCAUUAGAAACUAGUAAGCUUGAGUAGAGUCGAAGUAGAAGGAAUUUCCAGUGAAGCGGUGAAAUGCGUAGAUAUUGGAAGGAACACCAAUGGCGAAAGCAUUCUACUAGGCUCUUACUGACACUGAGAGACGAAAGCGAGGGUAGCAAAUGGGAUUAGAUACCCCAGUAGUCCUCGCUGUAAACGAUGGAUACUAAACAUUGCGUGCAUCGAUCCGCGUGGUGUUAUAGCUAACGCGUUAAGUAUCCCGCCUGGGGAGUACG